RNAcentral lists this transfer RNA (66 nucleotides) under Trioza urticae. RNAcentral describes it as "tRNA-Ala". Lineage: Eukaryota; Metazoa; Arthropoda; Insecta; Hemiptera; Triozidae. The record is from RNAcentral.
UAGGAUUAUAGUUUAAAAUUAAAACAUUUAAAUUGCACUUAAAUAAUAUAUUCAAUUAUUAAUCUG